Molecule: transfer RNA, 94 nt
Filed under: Streptomyces sp. MP131-18
Lineage: Bacteria; Bacillati; Actinomycetota; Actinomycetes; Kitasatosporales; Streptomycetaceae
Description: tRNA-Ser
Source: RNAcentral
AGUCGGGCCGCGGGCGGCCGUCGUGGCGCAGCCGGAGUCGGCGCCGGGGAUGCGAGCGCAGUACCGGAUGGAGGUUCCAGCCCUGCUCCGAGGC